AACCCUCAAGCCCCCGGGCUUGGUGUUGGGGAUCGGCGUGCCCUCGCGGCGCGCCGUCCCCUAAAUCUAGUGGCGGUCUCGCUGUAGCUUCCUCUGCGUAGUAGCAACACUCGCACUGGAUCGCAGCGCGGCCACGCCGUUAAACCCCCCACUUCUGAAAGUUUGACCUCGGAUCAGGUAGGAAUACCCGCUGAACUUAA
This 200-nucleotide unclassified non-coding RNA is filed under the name soil metagenome. RNAcentral describes it as "partial contains internal transcribed spacer 2 and large subunit ribosomal RNA". The record is from RNAcentral.